CCUACGGGAGGCUGCAGUGAGGAAUAUUGGUCAAUGGGCGCGAGCCUGAACCAGCCAAGUAGCGUGAAGGAUGACUGCCCUACGGGUUGUAAACUUCUUUUAUAAAGGAAUAAAGUGAGGCAAGUGUGCCUUUUUGUAUGUACUUUAUGAAUAAGGAUCGGCUAACUACGUGCCAGCAGCCGCGGUAAUACGGAGGAUCCGAGCGUUAUCCGGAUUUAUUGGGUUUAACGGGAGCGUAGAUGGGUUGUUAAGUCAGUUGUGAAAGUUUGCGGCUCAACCGUAAGAUUGCAAUUGAUACUGGCAGCCGUGAGUACAGUUGAGGUAGGCGGAAUACGUUGUGUAGCGGUGAAAAGCUUAUAUAUCACGAAGAACUCCGAUUGCGAGGGCAGCUUACUAAACUGCCACUGACAUUGAUGCUCGAAAGUGUGUGUAUCAAACAGGAGUAGAUACCCGAGUAGUC
RNAcentral lists this ribosomal RNA (460 nucleotides) under uncultured bacterium. Its description in RNAcentral is "partial 16S ribosomal RNA". It matches the Rfam family "Bacterial small subunit ribosomal RNA", at positions 338 to 795 of the family's 1533-position model. The record is from RNAcentral.